Molecule: non-coding RNA, 104 nt
Organism: Myotis daubentonii (Daubenton's bat)
Lineage: Eukaryota; Metazoa; Chordata; Mammalia; Chiroptera; Vespertilionidae
Source: RefSeq, a predicted model, not a curated record
GUGUGCUGCAGUACAACCAUAGGCAGUCACACACAUCAAAACAUAUGGUUCCGGCCGACAGGGUCUAUAAUUAUCAGAUUGUCUGUGUGAUGGCUCCCUACAUG